Molecule: ribosomal RNA, 253 nt
Filed under: uncultured bacterium
Lineage: Bacteria
Description: partial 16S ribosomal RNA
Rfam family: Bacterial small subunit ribosomal RNA
Source: RNAcentral
UACGGGGGGGGCAAGCGUUGUUCGGAAUUACUGGGCGUAAAGGGCUCGUAGGCGGCCAACUAAGUCCGACGUGAAAUCCCCAGGCUUAACCUGGGAACUGCGUCGGAUACUGGUUGGCUUGAAUCCGGGAGAGGGAUGCGGAAUUCCAGGUGUAGCGGUGAAAUGCGUAGAUAUCUGGAGGAACACCGGUGGCGAAGGCGGCAUCCUGGGCCGGUAUUGACGCUGAGGAGCGAAAGCCAGGGGAGCAAACGGG